Molecule: ribosomal RNA, 1373 nt
Filed under: Epiperipatus sp. ony134
Lineage: Eukaryota; Metazoa; Onychophora; Udeonychophora; Euonychophora; Peripatidae
Description: partial small subunit ribosomal RNA
Rfam family: Eukaryotic small subunit ribosomal RNA
Source: RNAcentral
CGCCGGGCCGCCGCCUCCGUGUGGCGAGUUCCCGUGUGUCCCCGGGACCGCACGUUCACCCCCGCAGUGCUCUUAACUGAGUGUCUGCGGUAGCGGGUGACCGAACGUUUACCUUGACAAAACCGGAGUGCUCGAGGCGUGGGCGUUCGCCGCCCGUACGUCCUCGCUGGGAAUAAUGGAAGAGGACCGUUGGUCAAAAAAGGUUUUUUGUCAGAGAGGUAGGAGAGCAAAAAAGAGGUCGGGCUGGUGGGGGGUUACAAAGGGGGGCGACUCCUUUUCCUCCUCUGGUCUGCCUCUUUCUCCUCCUCGAAACCUUCCUCCCCGCGUACCGCACUGUGGAUCGGCUGGCGCUUUAUGGCGGAAAGGGUGGUUUGAGAAAGAAGGGUGAAAGCAAGUGGCUGUGUGCCAGAAGGUGAAAGCUGGAUGGCCGGUCGUUUGUGGAAGCCUGGAAUCUUUUUCCCCCUCGCUGUCGUGGUGCUUCCGUACCCUUGGUGUCAGCGGGAGGAGGUCGAAAAUCAAAAUAAAAAAACGUGUCAUGAUUAAGAGGGACGGCCGGGGGCAUUCGUACCGCGGCGCGAGAGGUGAAAUUCUAGGACCGUCGCGAGACGAACGAUAGCGAAAGCAUUUGCCAAGAAUGUUUUCCUUAAUCAAGAACGAAAGUCGGAGGUUCGAAGGCGAUCAGAUACCGCCCUAGUUCCGACCUUAAACCAUGCCGUCCGACCGCCCGCCAGGGUUACUACCGCGACUCGGCGGGCGGUGACUUUCCACCGGGAAACCCUUAAGCUUUCGGGUUCCGGGGGAAGUACGGUCGCAAAGCUGAAACUUAAAGGAAUUGACGGAAGGGCACCACCAGGAGUGGAGCCUGCGGCUUAAUUUGACUCAACACGGGGAACCUCACCCGGCCCGGACACCGCGAGGAUUGACAGAUCGAUAGCUCUUUCUCGAUCCGGUGGGUGGUGGUGCAUGGCCGUUCUUAGUUGGUGGAGCGAUCUGUCUGGUUAAUUCCGAUAACGAACGAGACUCUAGCCGGUUAAGUAGCCCGAGUGGCGUGUUGUUGAUUAAAAACCGCCCUAGCGGCACUCGGGGUGCUUCUUGGAAGCUGUCUGGCUUUAACUGUGGUGGGACGGGGAGGUGGAAGACGACGGUUGGAGCCGCGUGUUGUCGCGGCUCGGAUCUAGUUUUUUUUAACUUCCCUUUAAUCCUGUCGCGUUUUGGCCUUUCACUUCUGAGGACCUCUGUUUGCUUUACUAGGGUAGAUAAAACGUUAACGAGAGUCGGGGGCAGUGGACGUUACUCGUGGAAUGGGUGGGCGCUUCUUAAUGGGGCGUCUCCCUUCCCUGUUUCGCUUUUCUGCUUUCCUCGUCAUCUCGCGC